CAAUAACAUUGCGGGGAAAUAGAUCUAGUGAAUAAUAUUUUAAUCUAUCGAUAAAAAAUAACAAUUUGAAAGAGAAGCAAAAACAGCUGAAAAAGAGAGUCACCAAACCUUCAUCGAGAUAGAAUCUACGCCGACUCUUGAGUUCAGCAAGGAUUACAACGUAUAUCUUCCUGAACAAAAGGUAGGUACAUUUUAGAUCUGUUUGUGUUACAUAAAUAUAUUUUUAAAAUAUAGCCCUCUAUAUUGUCUCCAUAACAAUUAUGCUAAAUAAAUCCACCAAAACGACCCCCGAUCCAAACCAAUUCUCACUUAGAUAUUGAACUUAGUUUUAGCAUUCGCUCAAAGAGAAAUCUUUUUUCAAGCUCCAUUUAUAAAUCGUAAAUUUAUGUUCUAAUUUGGAACCUCAAAUUGAAAUAAGUCAGUUAGAAACUUGAAUAUUAGACCCUUUACUCAUCUAAUUUGGGACUAUUUAUGAAAAAUAAUAGGCGCAGAUGUGAUUUUGUAAUAUUGCGCAGGCCUUUCAGAUUUCAUGUUUCGAUCACAUCGUGGUUCUCCGUAAAAUUUACGGAGAGCACCGAUGUGGGACUGAGAUAAAUAGUAUUUUUUCAAAACAAAUUAUGUAUCUGGUCACUGAAAUGUGAAAUAUGAUCGCAGACUGUAGUUAUAAGUUUAUAAAAUUAUUGAAUUAAUAGAUAACAAAUUAUAUAUUUGUAUUAUGUUAAACUCUAUUUGUCUUAAGUUGUAUUUGAAAUUAAAACUUAGGUUUUUUUUACAAACAAAUGUCCAUUGUUGUAUGUUAAUUAGUACGGAAAUCGCCGCCAUUUUGUAACCUGCUGUUUUAUAACGAGGAUGUUGGUUGAUAUUUUUUUACGAACUCCCCCCUUCCUUGUGGUGAUUUUUGAAGACAAAAAAGGAACGAUACUUCAUAGGAAGACGUGAACUCCUGCUGAUGUGCCUGUAUCAUGAGAAGGGAUCAAGGAGAAGAAGCCAGUUGCUGCCUGGUGGCCAGCAACUUGGUGUUUUUACGAUGCUACCGACACCGAUGUGGUACUCGAAGUUCUGAAACCGGCAAAGAAAAAACAACUGGAACUUUGUGGUGAGCAAGAAGAUCUGCACGCUUAGGAAUGCCUUCAAGUGAAUGAGUCAUGCCUCUUGAAGGACAGCUUCCAUGACGACCCCUGCCAGGACGAGGAUGACUUCCACUUUCAUAUGAUGACUUCCACUUUCAUAUGAUGGCUACCAUAUAAUGAUAUCUUCUGUUGAUGAUGUCCACCUCUGGCUACUUUUUAUUGCUGUUAUUACUCCAAAUAAAGAGAAUACUAUA
Haliotis rufescens (red abalone) is the source of this 1324-nucleotide long non-coding RNA. RefSeq lists it as uncharacterized. The record is from RefSeq and is a predicted model, not a curated record. NCBI's taxonomy places the organism in Eukaryota, Metazoa, Mollusca, Gastropoda, Lepetellida, Haliotidae. The transcript is spliced from 4 exons.